UGGGGAAUAUUGGACAAUGGGGGCAACCCUGAUCCAGCCAUGCCGCGUGAAUGAAGAAGGCCUUAGGGUUGUAAAGUUCUUUCAGUCGUGACGAUGAUGACGGUAGCGACAGAAGAAGCCCCGGCUAACUCCGUGCCAGCAGCCGCGGUAAUACGGAGGGGGCAAGCGUUGUUCGGAAUUACUGGGCGUAAAGGGUGCGCAGGCGGCGUCGUUAGUCAGGUGUGAAAUCCCCGGGCUCAACCCGGGAAUGGCACUUGAUACUGCGAUGCUAGAGUUCGGAAGAGGGUAGUGGAAUUCCCAGUGUAGAGGUGAAAUUCGUAGAUAUUGGGAAGAACACCAGUGGCGAAGGCGGCUACCUGGUCCGAUACUGACGCUGAGGCACGAAAGCGUGGGGAGCAAACAGG
Molecule: ribosomal RNA, 404 nt
Filed under: uncultured bacterium
Lineage: Bacteria
Description: bacterial SSU rRNA
Rfam family: Bacterial small subunit ribosomal RNA
Source: RNAcentral